RNAcentral lists this ribosomal RNA (497 nucleotides) under uncultured bacterium. Its description in RNAcentral is "partial 16S ribosomal RNA". It matches the Rfam family "Bacterial small subunit ribosomal RNA", at positions 28 to 507 of the family's 1533-position model. The record is from RNAcentral.
GAUGAACGCUGGCGGCGUGCCUAAUACAUGCAAGUCGAGCGAACAGACGAGGAGCUUGCUCCUCUUACGUUAGCGGCGGACGGGUGAGUAACACGUGGAUAACCUACCUAUAAGACUGGGAUAACUUCGGGAAACCGGAGCUAAUACCGGAUAAUAUAUUGAACCGCAUGGUUCAAUAGUGAAAGACGGUUUUGCUGUCACUUAUAGAUGGAUCCGCGCCGCAUUAGCUAGUUGGUAAGGUAACGGCUUACUAAGGCGACGAUGCGUAGCCGACCUGAGAGGGUGAUCGGCCACACUGGAACUGAGACACGGUCCAGACUCCUACGGGAGGCAGCAGUAGGGAAUCUUCCGCAAUGGGCGAAAGCCUGACGGAGCAACGCCGCGUGAGUGAUGAAGGUCUUCGGAUCGUAAAACUCUGUUAUUAGGGAAGAACAAAUGUGUAAGUAACUAUGCACGUCUUGACGGUACCUAAUCAGAAAGCCACGGCUAACUACGUG